RNAcentral lists this ribosomal RNA (484 nucleotides) under uncultured Microbacteriaceae bacterium. RNAcentral describes it as "partial 16S ribosomal RNA". Lineage: Bacteria; Bacillati; Actinomycetota; Actinomycetes; Micrococcales; Microbacteriaceae. The record is from RNAcentral.
CACGUAGCUAGCCGGUGCUUUUUCUGCAGGUACCGUCACUUUCGCUUCUUCCCUACUAAAAGAGGUUUACAACCCGAAGGCCGUCGUCCCUCACGCGGCGUUGCUGCAUCAGGCUUGCGCCCAUUGUGCAAUAUUCCCCACUGCUGCCUCCCGUAGGAGUCUGGGCCGUGUCUCAGUCCCAGUGUGGCCGGUCACCCUCUCAGGCCGGCUACCCGUCGUCGCCUUGGUGGGCCGUUACCUCACCAACUAGCUGAUAGGCCGCGAGUCCAUCCUUGACCGAAGUUCUUUCCAGCCCCUCACCAUGCGGCGGAGGCUCGUAUCCGGUAUUAGACACCGUUUCCAGUGCUUAUCCCAGAGUCAAGGGCAGGUUACUCACGUGUUACUCACCCGUUCGCCACUAAUCAGAAGAGCAAGCUCUCCGUCAUCGCUCGACUUGCAUGUGUUAAGCACGCCGCCAGCGUUCGUCCUGGCCAGGAUCAAACUC